CGUGCGGCAGCUAUACAUGCAAGUCGAGCGGACAGAAGGGAGCUUGCUCCCGGAUGUUAGCGGCGGACGGGUGAGUAACACGUGGGUAACCUGCCUGUAAGACUGGGAUAACUCCGGGAAACCGGAGCUAAUACCGGAUAGUUCCUUGAACCGCAUGGUUCAAGGAUGAAAGACGGUUUCGGCUGUCACUUACAGAUGGACCCGCGGCGCAUUAGCUAGUUGGUGGGGUAAUGGCUCACCAAGGCGACGAUGCGUAGCCGACCUGAGAGGGUGAUCGGCCACACUGGGACUGAGACACGGCCCAGACUCCUACGGGAGGCAGCAGUAGGGAAUCUUCCGCAAUGGACGAAAGUCUGACGGAGCAACGCCGCGUGAGUGAUGAAGGUUUUCGGAUCGUAAAGCUCUGUUGUUAGGGAAGAACAAGUGCGAGAGUAACUGCUCGCACCUUGACGGUACCUAACCAGAAAGCCACGGCUAACUACGUGCCAGCAGCCGCGGUAAUACGUAGGUGGCAAGCGUUGUCCGGAAUUAUUGGGCGUAAAGGGCUCGCAGGCGGUUUCUUAAGUCUGAUGUGAAAGCCCCCGGCUCAACCGGGGAGGGUCAUUGGAAACUGGGAAACUUGAGUGCAGAAGAGGAGAGUGGAAUUCCACGUGUAGCGGUGAAAUGCGUAGAGAUGUGGAGGAACACCAGUGGCGAAGGCGACUCUCUGGUCUGUAACUGACGCUGAGGAGCGAAAGCGUGGGGAGCGAACAGGAUUAGAUACCCUGGUAGUCCACGCCGUAAACGAUGAGUGCUAAGUGUUAGGGGGUUUCCGCCCCUUAGUGCUGCAGCUAACGCAUUAAGCACUCCGCCUGGGGAGUACGGUCGCAAGACUGAAACUCAAAGGAAUUGACGGGGGCCCGCACAAGCGGUGGAGCAUGUGGUUUAAUUCGAAGCAACGCGAAGAACCUUACCAGGUCUUGACAUCCUCUGACAACCCUAGAGAUAGGGCUUUCCCUUUCGGGGACAGAGUGACAGUGUGCAUGAUUGUCGUCAGCUCGUGUCGUGAGAUGGUUGGGUUAAGUCCCGCACGAGCGCACCUUUGAUCUUAGUUGCCAGCAUCAGUGGUACUCUUAGUGACUGCCGAUGACCAAACCGGAAGGAAAGUUUG
This 1150-nucleotide ribosomal RNA is filed under the name Bacillus safensis. RNAcentral's name for it is "bacterial SSU rRNA". It matches the Rfam family "Bacterial small subunit ribosomal RNA", at positions 36 to 1177 of the family's 1533-position model. Lineage: Bacteria; Bacillati; Bacillota; Bacilli; Caryophanales; Bacillaceae. The record is from RNAcentral.